Molecule: ribosomal RNA, 303 nt
Filed under: uncultured bacterium
Lineage: Bacteria
Description: partial 16S ribosomal RNA
Rfam family: Bacterial small subunit ribosomal RNA
Source: RNAcentral
AGCAGUAGCCGCGGUAAUGCGUAGGUGGCAAGCGUUGUCCGGAAUUAUUGGGCGUAAAGCGCGCGCAGGCGGCCUAUCCAGUCUGUCUUAAAAGUUCGGGGCUCAACCCCGUGGUGGGAUGGAAACUAGUAGGCCAGAGUAUCGGAGAGGAAAGCGGAAUUCCUAGUGUAGCGGUGAAAUGCGUAGAUAUUAGGAAGAACACCAGUGGCGAAGGCGACUUUCUGGACGAAAACUGACGCUGAGGCGCGAAAGCCAGGGGAGCGAACGGGAUUAGAUACCCCAGUAGUCCCUGUCUCUUAUACA